Molecule: ribosomal RNA, 373 nt
Filed under: uncultured bacterium
Lineage: Bacteria
Description: bacterial SSU rRNA
Rfam family: Bacterial small subunit ribosomal RNA
Source: RNAcentral
AGAGGUGGCAAGCGUUGUUCGGAAUUACUGGGCGUAAAGGGCGCGUAGGCGGUCCGAUAAGUCCCGUGUGAAAUCCCUCGGCUCAACUGAGGAAUGGCACGGGAAACUGACGGGCUUGAGUUCGGGAGAGGGAAGCGGAAUUCCGGGUGUAGCGGUGAAAUGCGUAGAUAUCCGGAGGAACACCGGUGGCGAAGGCGGCUUCCUGGACCGACACUGACGCUGAGGCGCGAAAGCUAGGGGAGCAAACGGGAUUAGAUACCCCGGUAGUCCUAGCUGUAAACGAUGAGCGCUGGGUGUAGGGGGUAUCUACCCCCCCUGUGCCGAAGCUAACGCAUUAAGCGCUCCGCCUGGGGAGUACGGUCGCAAGGCUGAA